AAGCCAGGUCGGCUCCCUCCCACCAUCCCCCAGACAGGCGUCAGAGAGAAGAGACACGCUGCUUCCAGGACGCGGAAGCUGGGGACAGUCACCUGCCUUGGGAACAGCCGGAGUGCGUCCUCUCCGCGCACUCGAGGGAUCGCGGUUAGGGCAGUUAACUGCGGAGCGGCGCCCUUCAGACCCACAGAAGAGGCGUGGAACAAAGAGGUGCAUAUUCUCAGCUCCUUAGAAGCAUUUACUUAAAGAAGAAGGAAUUGAUUGGAGAUUUGACAAGCAUGCAAUUGCAAAAGUGGGGCCCUGGGUUCACUGGAAAAGAGAAGCUGCAAAUAAAGAGAAAUCGAAGCUAAUUUCAGAGUUAACUGAAGCCUUGGAA
Molecule: long non-coding RNA, 373 nt
Filed under: Rattus norvegicus (Norway rat)
Lineage: Eukaryota; Metazoa; Chordata; Mammalia; Rodentia; Muridae
Description: long non-coding RNA NONRATT030106
Source: RNAcentral